RNAcentral lists this microRNA precursor (83 nucleotides) under Ovis aries (sheep). Its description in RNAcentral is "miRNA (ENSOARG00000023937.1)". The record is from RNAcentral. Lineage: Eukaryota; Metazoa; Chordata; Mammalia; Artiodactyla; Bovidae.
UAUUGGGUUGGCCAAAAUGUUUGUUAGGGUUUUUCCAUAACAUCUUACAAAAAAACCCAAGUGAACUUUUUGGCCAAUCCAAU